CUGAGUUGGGGGGAGGGGCAGGGGGCUCCCCUGGAGAGCCCCCCCAGUAACCGCCCUUCCCCCCAGGAACCCCUCUCUGGAGCGGUGCCGGCGCUGCGGCUGCGCCGGGAGGAGGCAGCCGAGGUGGCAGCGCUGGACGUGGGAACAUCAUCACUCGGAUGGCGUCCCCCGGCGCUGCAACAUCUGGAGCCUGUACAGCACCCCGCCAGCCGCCCCCCAGCCGACACCCACCGGCCCGCGCGCCCCAGUGGAAUCUGGUCCAGCCUCCGUGGCGUGAUCAGCAGUGACGGGGAAAGCGAGUGAGGCUGGGGGGCAGCGCCUGGUAUAACACAAACACACCUCGCCUGCUGGGGGCCUGGGAAGUGGGGCUCAACCCCGCCAUUCCCUGCUUGGAAGGGCCCAUUGUUUGGGGGGGGCAGGUCGGGGAGUGCCGCAGGAUGGGGGGCAAAUCCAUCUCCCAUUCCCCACUUUGGGGCUCCAGGGCUGAUUUAGGGUGAACUUGGGACAGAAAUCGGGGGGGGGAGGGAGCUAACCUCUUGGAACUCCCUCCGGUGUCUGGCACUUUCAGGGGUGAUCCCACCUGACACCCCAAAACUGGAGGUUGGGGGACCCCUGAACCACUAGCAGGGGCCUCCCUGCAGAGCUGGGGCAGCAGCCGUCCGCCCCCAGGGGAGCCAGAGGUGACCCCAAAAUACUCCCACGCUGGCCCCUCAAUGAAGGAUGCUGGGGCAGGGGGCUGGAUGUGUCCUGGCUUGGGGGGCACCCCAUAGUUCUACACCCAGGGGGCAGUUACCCUCCCAUCCCAACCCCCCCAGUUGUAAGUGUCUUUGUUUUAUGCAAGUUUUUUAUAUUGUAAAAUAAAAUAAAUUUUGUUAUUUAA
Molecule: non-coding RNA, 880 nt
Organism: Chelonoidis abingdonii (Abingdon island giant tortoise)
Lineage: Eukaryota; Metazoa; Chordata; Testudines; Testudinidae
Source: RefSeq, a predicted model, not a curated record